GACUGAAAGAGUAAUGCCUUACAAGCUAAUCACGAUUUGUAUUACAAUGAAAUUUCUUUUGAUCUUCCUAUUCAUGUACAUGACAUUUUUAUGAAUAAAUAAAGUCUUUAUAUUUCAUCAUAUGCUGCAUCUUAUAGUUAUUAAGAUUAUGAUGGAUUCCACAGAUUAGGGCAAUGAUUUUAGAACCAUGAUGAGAUCAUACCAGUGGACCUAAAAUUUUAAUCUAAAAUAUUUUUAGUCAUUGAUGCAUUG
RNAcentral lists this long non-coding RNA (252 nucleotides) under Elaeis guineensis (African oil palm). RNAcentral describes it as "long non-coding RNA (EGUI_LNC044770)". The record is from RNAcentral. Lineage: Eukaryota; Viridiplantae; Streptophyta; Magnoliopsida; Arecales; Arecaceae.